This 376-nucleotide small RNA is filed under the name Pan troglodytes (chimpanzee). RNAcentral's name for it is "processed transcript". Lineage: Eukaryota; Metazoa; Chordata; Mammalia; Primates; Hominidae. The record is from RNAcentral.
GCUCUUAUCCUCAGUCCUUCACCCAAGCCACAGCCCUGUGCUGCUGUGGCGCUGGUGACUGAGACAGGGAGACCCAGUGUGAGCUGGUCAGCUGCAGUGCCCACUCUUAUCCUGGCCCUGUGGCCACCUCAGGGGGGGACCGCCCCCCACCUCCCUCCUGUCUCUGCAGGGAGCCUGCCCGCUGGAGAGCACAGCUUCCCCUUCCAGUUCCUGCUUCCUGCCACCGCACCCACGUCCUUUGAGGGUCCUUUCGGGAAGAUCGUGCACCAGGUGAGGGCCGCCAUCCACACGCCACGGUUUUCCAAGGAUCACAAGUGCAGCCUCGUGUUCUAUAUCUUGAGCCCCUUGAACCUGAACAGCAUCCCAGACAUUGAGG